UACGGAGGAUGCAAGCGUUAUCCGGAUUCAUUGGGUUUAAAGGGUUCGCAGGCGGCAUAUUAAGUCAGUGGUGAAAUGCCUCCGCUCAACGGAGGAACUGCCAUUGAUACUGGUAUGCUAGAGUAUAGUUGGCGUAGGCGGAAUAUUUCAUGUAGCGGUGAAAUGCUUAGAUAUGAAAUAGAACACCGAUCGCGAAGGCAGCUUACGAAGCUAUAACUGACGCUCAUGAACGAAAGCGUGGGGAUCAAACAGGAUUAGAUACCCUGGUAGUCCACGCUGUAAACGAUGAUUACUCGUUGUCGGCGAUAUACAGUCGGUGGCUAAGCGAAAGUGAUAAGUAAUCCACCUGGGGAGUACGAUCGCAAGGUUGAA
Molecule: ribosomal RNA, 372 nt
Filed under: uncultured bacterium
Lineage: Bacteria
Description: bacterial SSU rRNA
Rfam family: Bacterial small subunit ribosomal RNA
Source: RNAcentral